GCCGGAGUGGCGGAAUUGGCAGACGCACUGGACUUAAAAUCCAGAGGGUAGCGAUACCCGUGCCGGUUCGAGUCCGGCCUCCGGCACCA
Molecule: transfer RNA, 89 nt
Filed under: Dictyoglomus sp. NZ13-RE01
Lineage: Bacteria; Pseudomonadati; Dictyoglomota; Dictyoglomia; Dictyoglomales; Dictyoglomaceae
Also listed under: 1 other name
Description: tRNA-Leu
Rfam family: tRNA
About the family: Transfer RNA (tRNA) molecules are approximately 80 nucleotides in length. Their secondary structure includes four short double-helical elements and three loops (D, anti-codon, and T loops).
Source: RNAcentral